Molecule: long non-coding RNA, 1076 nt
Filed under: Numida meleagris (helmeted guineafowl)
Lineage: Eukaryota; Metazoa; Chordata; Aves; Galliformes; Numididae
Description: lncRNA (ENSNMEG00000004987.1)
Source: RNAcentral
GAUUUUGGCUCCUCUUCGCGCCUUCCUUUGAUGUCGGGGUUUGUUUGAGGAGAGGAGGCGUUUUUAUGGGCUUCCUUCAAACUUGCAUGACUUUCCAUUGGAGGCCAGGGGAUGAGAUGGGGGAGAGCAAACCAACCCCUGCCCUGAACCCCUGAGGCCCUCGGCCCAAGCCGCAGGAGCUGCAGGUGAGCCAGAUAGCACGUCCUCAGAAACUGAAGGAAAACCAACUGGAUACUUUCUUGAGGGGAAACAAUUCUGAGAUUGAAGGGACCCAUCAGGAGGAAGUCCUGCCAGCAUCUGUGCUUAUUUCAAGAGGAAACUGCAUGUUGGAGGAACUGCGGAGGGCUCAGCAUCUGAUGAUGGAUUUAUUGCACCAGCAUCUCCCCAUUGUAGCAGCUCGUCCACGUAAGUGAGGUGAUCCCAAGGACAUCUCUCUGGGUGAUGACUGGGAGACACUGUGAAAAACAAAUUUCCUGACUUGUUUGAAAUCAUCGUCUGGAUGGAAACUGUGCCCUUUCUCUCGAGAAGGAAGGAUUUGUAUCUCUUGUGGUUUCCAGUGCUCACAUCUUUUCCUGGCAGUCAUCAAGGUCCAGGUUUUUAACUCUGACAUCUGAGACUUAUUGGGUAGAGGUGAAUAGUUGGAAAUGUUAGGACUAAAUCUUUUUCUUUAAUUUUAUUUUUAAGAUGAUAACAUGCAUAUCUAUAAAAAAGGUCCAUCUACAAGGCUACUUUCCGGCAUUGCCCCAGGCAACCCUGUGAUUGAUUCUCUUCUUCCCAAGAAGGGCUAUUAGGAGUGAGAAGAAUUGAGAACGUGGGGGAGCAGGAAGAAAUGUUAGGUGGCUGCUCAGAAUAGACACCAGACUUACAAGGCAGUGCUUCCACAUCUCUCGGCUCUCUUCCUAACCACUGAGUAGAUACAGAAAGACCAAAGACGUAACCUGUUCUGCAGACUUUGGCAAGUGGCAGGAAGUCUUCCACUCAGGACCAAAACUUGUGUGUACAGGUUCCCAAACGUCAGCUCAACAUUAGCCCUAAGCUAAGAAGGAAUAAAAAGAUAAAAGCCCUUUUGCUUUUCA